Molecule: ribosomal RNA, 391 nt
Filed under: uncultured bacterium
Lineage: Bacteria
Description: bacterial SSU rRNA
Rfam family: Bacterial small subunit ribosomal RNA
Source: RNAcentral
AACGAACGCUGGCGGCGUGGAUAAGACAUGCAAGUCGAGCGCUGAUCGCGGGGUAGCAAUAUUCCGAGGUCGGAGCGGCGCAAGGGUGCGUAACAUGUGGGUAAUUUGCCGUGAAGUUGGGGAUAACUUGCUGAAAGGCGAGCUAAUACCGAAUGUGACGGCCGGAGGGCAUCCUCUGGUUUUCAAAGUUGGGGACCGCAAGGCCUGACGCUUCAUGAUAAGCCCGCAACCUAUCAGCUAGUUGGUGAGGUAACGGCUCACCAAGGCUAAGACGGGUAGCUGGUCUGAGAGGACGACCAGCCACACUGGAACUGAGACACGGUCCAGACACCUACGGGUGCAGCAGUCGAGUAAUUUUUCUCAAUGGGCGAAAGCCUGAAGGAGCGACGCC